AGCAGUUCUCGGCCUUUUGGCUAAGAUCAAGUGCAGUAUCUGUUCUUAUCAGCGAAUGAUUUGUAGUGCACAGUGCACAUUGUGAGGGCAUGGUGCACCAAUGAGCAUUAUUCUGACUCCUGCAGAUGUAAAUCAAUUUUUGAAGAUAUAAGGCUGCAAUAGAAUUCCAGCAGUUACUUUCUGCACAAAACAUUU
Anolis carolinensis (green anole) is the source of this 195-nucleotide small nuclear RNA. Its record names the gene U2. It matches the Rfam family "U2 spliceosomal RNA". From Rfam's summary of the family: U2 is a small nuclear RNA (snRNA) component of the spliceosome (involved in pre-mRNA splicing). The record is from Ensembl. Lineage: Eukaryota; Metazoa; Chordata; Lepidosauria; Squamata; Anolidae.